RNAcentral lists this transfer RNA (70 nucleotides) under Proechimys roberti (Roberto's spiny-rat). RNAcentral describes it as "tRNA-Ala". It matches the Rfam family "tRNA". Rfam says of the family: Transfer RNA (tRNA) molecules are approximately 80 nucleotides in length. Their secondary structure includes four short double-helical elements and three loops (D, anti-codon, and T loops). The record is from RNAcentral. Lineage: Eukaryota; Metazoa; Chordata; Mammalia; Rodentia; Echimyidae.
AAGGGUUUAGCUUAAUUAAAGUAUCUGUUUUGCAUACAGAUGAUGUGGGUUUAUAGACUUGCAAUCCUUA